This 302-nucleotide ribosomal RNA is filed under the name uncultured bacterium. RNAcentral's name for it is "partial 16S ribosomal RNA". It matches the Rfam family "Bacterial small subunit ribosomal RNA", at positions 508 to 809 of the family's 1533-position model. The record is from RNAcentral.
GCAGUAGCCACGGUAAUACGUAGGUGGCAAGCGUUGUCCGGAAUUAUUGGGCGUAAAGCGCGCGCAGGCGGAUCAGUCAGUCUGUCUUAAAAGUUCGGGGCUUAACCCCGUGAGGGGAUGGAAACUGCUGAUCUAGAGUAUCGGAGAGGAAAGUGGAAUUCCUAGUGUAGCGGUGAAAUGCGUAGAUAUUAGGAAGAACACCAGUGGCGAAGGCGACUUUCUGGACGAAAACUGACGCUGAGGCGCGAAAGCCAGGGGAGCGAACGGGAUUAGAUACCCGCGUAGUCCCUGUCUCUUAUACA